CGUGUGAAAUGAGUGCAAUUGUGCGGUAGUUGGAGCAUUCUUUGGCACUGCCCUUCUUUGGGAUUGGGAUGUAGACUGAUCUUCUCCAAUCCUCUGGCCACUGCUGAGUUUUCCAAACUUGCUGGCAUAUUGAGUGUAGCACCUUAACAGCAUCAUCUUUUAAAAUUUUAAAUAGUUCAGCUGGAAUACCAUCACUUCCACUGGCCUUGUUAUUAGCAGUGCUUUCUAAGGCCCAUUUGAUUUCACUCUCCAGGAUGUCUGGCUCAAGGUCAGCUCUUAUAUAGACUUUUGCAAUUGCCUACCCUGUAGGGGUGGCGCUGUGGGUAAAACCUCAGUGCUUAGGACUUGCCGAUCGUAUGGUCGGCGGUUCGAAUCCCUGCGGCGGGGUGAGCGCCCGUCUUUCGGUCCCAGCUCCUGCCCACCUAGCAGUUCGAAAGCACCCCUAAGUGCAAGUAGAUAAAUAGGGACCGCUUUAUAGCGGGAAGGUAAACGGCGUUUCCGUGUGUUGCGCUGGUGCUGGCUCGCCAGAGCAGCUUCGUCACGCUGGCCAUUGACCCGGAAGUGUCUUCGGACAGCGCUGGCUCCCGGCCUCUUAAGUGAGAUGAGCGCACAACCCUAGAGUCGGACACGACUGGCCCGUACGGGCAGGGGUACCUUUACCAUUUUACCCUGUAGCUCAAGACCCCCCCCCCAAACAUCAUACAUUCAUCACAGAAAGGGUGGUCUACAGCAGAAAUCCUGUCUAGCAGGAUACUGAUAAUGGUCACUUGAUUGGUUUAUCUGGGCAGCCUGGCCAUUCCUUUUGAGAUGCUAAAUACUUAGUUCCUGAAUCCAUGCCACAGGCUCACCCUAUUCAUGCACAAUACACCCUAUUCAUGCACAAUACACUCUUAAGACAGGAUUUGUGAGCAAAGAGACAAUGGGAAGAUUUUUCCCAUUUCCUUCCUCACUGCAGAGAAUAUUUGAGGUCACUGGAAGAGUCAAAAUGGCUUCAGGAUUGCUCUCCUGUAGUAUUUCAGAAACAUGGUUUAUAUACUUACGCAUCUGUUUGCCUUGUACAUUUAUAAACAUUUCAUUUAUAUAUAUGUGAGACCUUUGAAUUCCUAUAACAACCCCCCCCCCGGGGGUAUAAUUUGUACUAAAAAAAAUUGCCCCACAAAUAAUAACCAUGUUUUGUAAAUGGAUGCUUUUGUGUUAACCUGAAGAAACUUGCAUGUCAGACCUCUUAAGGCUAUUUACAAGUGAAGCAGUGCGCAUAGGUGGACAUGGGAUAUUACAUUCAAAACACAAAACACAUUGCGUUCUUUUACUCAAUUACUUGGGUGAAACAUUUUCUCAGUAGUGUUCUAUUCUUUUCACUCAGCAGGAAGGUCCAAAAAUGAUUGAAAAUGCAGUUUGUUUUGUUUCUGCCUUUUUUGUGUUCUCAGAUGUCAAAGUUAGCCUCCUGGCCCUUGUACGUUAAGCAUACUCACAGCAACAACCCGUCAUAAUGCAUCCCUGGUUAGGGCUUGCAGUGAUGGACCUUAAGGAGUAUCUCAUGUAGCAAGGUGGCAACAUUCCCUGGAGAGAAAUGCCCCAUCUGGACCAUCCAUGGGGUUAUACUUUGGCUUUGGUCCUGGGCUCAAGCGGUGUGUUGCACAAUUGCUAUUAAAGGAACCAAAGAAAGCUAAUUGCACUUGGGAUACACUUGUCCAAUUAGAACUGAGCCCAGUUAGAAUUUAUAUAGCCCCAUGGUUCUCUUUUUUUUUAAUAAUAAUUUUUAUUAAGUUUUCCAUUUUAACAAUCCAAUCAAAUCACAUUAAAUAUUCCAAAUUAUGCAAAUACAAAUCAUAAAGUCCAAAUAUUUUGCUAAAUUAUAAAUUUUUGUUGGGGCUUCCCAUGCUUUAAGUUCAGCGGGGUCCAAUCAUCUUAUGUUUCUACUGCUUUGAGUGUCCAAUAGUUCCUUCUUUAAAUGUUCCUGCUGUUAUCCUCCUUUCUUUCAUAGCCUCUGAGUUGUUUCCACAGGCGAGCUGAAAUGAGCAAUAAUAUGCUUCUGUGUGAACUCUGUGUGACUCUCCUUUUUUCCCCUUCAGCUGGUAAGUCUUUUAUUUGCAGUACAGUGGUGCCCCGCAAGACGAAUGCCUCGCAAGACGAAAAACUCGCUAGACGAAAGGGUUUUUCGUUUUUUUAGGUGCUUCGCAAGACGAAUUUCCCUAUGGGCUUGCUUCGCAAGUCGAAAACGUCUUGCAAGUUUGUUUCCUUUUUCAUAAAACCGUUAAUACCCAGGGUGCAUUGCUUGAAGAGGUGCAGUUGUGACUUGACUUCAAGGAGCAACUCAUAGCACGCGGUGUGGUAGCCUUUUUUGAGGUUUUUGAAGACUUUGGUGAUUUUUGAAGCUUUUCCAAAACUUCUUUUGCAGCCAUUUGGUAAGUUAAACUUUUAAAACUUUUUUGGGGGUUUUUUGGAUUUUGGGUUGGGGUGUUUGGAAUUCAAGGACUUGGUGUUGGGGAGGGGUUUGCAAGAAUCUGGAAGCUUGUGUGUUUUUUUUUCUGCAUUUUUCUGAAUUUUUGUGACCAUUGGGCCACUCUGUUUUUUUAAAAAAAAAAAUUCUGGGUUUGAAUUUCUGUGUGGUGGGUGGCUGGGUGCUUUUGAAUUUUUUGGAUGUGAAGCACUGAUUAUUAUUUUUUUUGGUUUGAGCAGGUAGGAGCUGUGCUGCCAUGGGACCCAAGAAGACUGCUGCUGCAGAGGCCGGCGAGGGGAAGAAGGAGAAAGUUACGCUGGAAAUGAAGAAGGAGAUCAUCCGGAAGCACGACGGUGGAAUGCGUGUGACAGACCUCGCCAGGGAGUACGGGAGGAAUCCAUCGACCAUCGGGACCAUCCUGAAGAUGAGGGAGAAGAUCCUUGCGACUGAUGCAGCCAAGGGAGUCACCAGGAUCGUGAAGAACCGCCCAGCUGUUCUGGAGAAGGUGGAGAAGUUGCUGCUCAUCUGGUUAGAAGAGAAGCAGCGUGCAGGGGACACAGUGACUGAGGCCGUCAUUUGUGAGAAGGCCAAGGCCUUGCACGCAGACCUCGUCCGGGAACAGCCAGGAACCUCAGGCGAGCCAGAAGUCUUCAAGGCAAGCAGAGGCUGGUUUGACCGGUUCAAGACAAGAUCUGGAAUCCACAGCGUGGUCAGGCAUGGAGAGGCUGCCAGUUCUGAUGUUUCUGCGGCUGAAGACUUUGCAGCGGAGUUCCUGGAGGUUGUGAAGAUGGAGGGCUACGUUCCACAGCAGGUCUUCAACUGCGAGGAGACUGGGCUGUUUUGGAAGAGGAUGCCCAAAAGGACUUGCAUCACACAGGAGGAGGCCAAGUUGCCCACAAGCCCAUGAAGGACCGUCUGACCCUGCUCUUUUGUGCCAACGCAAGCGGCGACCUGAAGAUCAAGCCCCUGCUGGUGUACCACUCAGAGAACCCACGGGCCUUCAAGAAAUACAAGGUUGACAAGGAGCAGCUGAGUGUCAUGUGGCGAUCCAACAGUAAGGCUUGGGUCACACGUGUGCUGUUUGUGGACUGGGUCAAUCUUGCUUUUGGCCCUGCUGUCAAACAGUACCUGCUGGACAACGACCUGCCGCUGAAGGCUUUGCUUCUGAUGGACAAUGCUCCUGCUCAUCCUAAAGGCCUUGAGGAGGACUUGUUGGAGGAGUUCAGCUUCAUCAGCAUCAUGUUCCUGCCGCCUAACACCACGCCACUGCUCCAGCCGAUGGAUCAGCAGGUCAUCGCCAAUUUCAAAAAACUCUACACCAAGGAGCUUUUCAGGCGAUGCUUCGAGGUGACUGAUUGCACCACCAUCACCCUGCGGGAAUUCUGGAAGGACCACUUCUACAUCGUCACCUACUUGAAGAUGAUCACCACGGCCUGGAACGGGAUCAGCCAGAGAAAUUUGAAUUGCGCUUGGCGCAGCCUGUGGCCGGACUGUGUGGCACCAAGUGACUCUGAUGCACCAGAGUCAACAGUGGUGCAGGACAUUGUUGCCUUGGGGAGGACCAUGGGCCUGGAGGUCACAGAGGAGGACAUCAGCGAGCUGGUGGAGGAGCACGACCACGAGCUGACCACCCAGGAGCUGGUCAAACUGCAGGCAGAGGCUGCGCAGGAGCAGGCCUCGCUGGAAGUGGAGGAAGCAACUGAGGAACGGCUGUCCUCCAAAGAACUGAGGGACAUUUGCCUGAAGUGGAAGGAUGUGCAGGCUUUUGCACAGCGGCACCACCCUGACAAGCACAUGGCACAUGACCUUACGAACACUUUUGAUACGAGGGUCAUGUCGCCUUUCAGGGAGGUGCUGAAAAGGCGGAUGAAGCAGCAGACCAUGGACAGGUUCUUCAGCAAGAAGCAAAGAGUGGAAGAGGAACCUUCUUCGAGUUGUCCCCCAGAGUCUUAGAAAAUGUACUGUACACUUUGUUGAUUUUUAAAUUUUUUCUGUCAUGUUUAGAAACUUAAUUUAUUGUUCCUUCAAUUUUUGAAAUGCUCUUUACAGUAUGUGUGAUUUUAAAGAGCACUUAAUAAACUCUUGUUGUACCAAAUUUGGCUUUGUUUGGACUUUUUUUGACCAUAGGAACGCAUUAAUUGAAUUUCAAUGCAUUCCUAUGGGAUUUCGUGCUUCGCAAGACGAAAAAUUCGCUAGACGAAAAAACUCGCGGAACGAAUUAAUUUCGUCUUGCGAGGCACCACUGUAUGCCCUCACAUGCUGGUGUUUAUGUCGAAUCAAUCCAAAAGUCCUUCUCUGGUGGCAGACGCCAUCUUCUCUCAAUUCCGAUGAAAUAAAAUCUAGGCGUUUGCUCAUUAAUUUUCUCAGACAGGUUGCACCAAACAUUAGUCUUUCCAGAGGAGGUUUGCCAAAUCGGACUUGAAAUACAGAUAUAAUAACAAAGUAAGAGCUCGCCUCUCCCUAUGACUAUUAAUCUCUGCAACUCAGUCUGUCUCAUAAUGGCGGAUCCUGAUUAAAGGUGCGUCAUAGAAGAGUCUUUUAUCUUCUUCCAAGUAUUUCAAAGAACAAAGGCUUUAGUUAAUAUUAUUAUUUCCACACAGUUUAUAUUUUCCGAUCUCACUUGCUAUAAGUAAAUGUAGACGGUUCUUCGGGGGGGAGGGGCUUGUUAGGUAUUAUCAUAGUAGAAAAAGAAAAAGUUUUAUCCCCCCCCUUUCCGUUCCGUUGCAACAUACCGGUUUAGAUGUUAUUCUUUGAUGUUAUCUUUCUUCCUCCCGUCCUUCUUGACACCUCAGUGGCUGUAGUUGGCAGAUUAACUACCCUUUCUUCGCCCGAAGCAUGUCCAAAAUUCUUAAAUCCAAUCUUUAUCUUAAGAAAUGAAACUUGAAGCGCUCAUAGAGACAGCGUCCAGGAGAUCCGAACUCCCUCGAGGGCUUUCCAUCCAGUGCUCCCACCCCCUCCUUCGUUACGAACUCGGGGGUGGUUUGUGGGCAGUUGCGGAUGAGACUGCAUCUUCCCUUCCACCGGGAAGUAUUUGGGAGGCUGAUUACUCCCAUCUCAGCCUCUAAAUUACCUCGUGGGAGCUGGAGAGAUGGUAUUGUUGGCCAUCUUACGUGGCGCCCCUAGCAGAGCCCCCUAGCCCCAUGGUUCUCAACCCUUCAAACCAACCUGUUAAAAACCAUUCUAAAAAGUGCAGUUGUCUAAAUUAGUCAAUUUAACUCUAUAUGGGAUCAUUCCUGCUAAAUCAAAACAUAUACCCUUCCUGUUAUCUGGUCUUUCCUGGAUCCUGAAGCUUCUCCAUGGUAAAACAAAUUAAAACAAUUAAAAAAUGGGUAGAGGAGGUUUGCACACUGAAGAGGUGGGAUGAGGAAAUGUGGUCAUAAAUUGAUCUAAUCUAAAUAUUGAACUACACAAUAGCCUGAUCUAUUAGAAAGCAUAAAGUGCAUGAGAAUCCUCCAUGCCAUUGGGGUGUAAGCCAAACCCUUCUACUGUUCAUAAAAAGGCAAAGCUAAAGGACCCCUGACCGUUAGGUCCAGUCGCGGAUGACUCUGGGGUUGCGCGCUCAUCUCUAUAGGCCGAGGGAGCUGAUGUUUGUCCACAGACAGUUUUUCCAGGUCAUGUAGCCAGCAUGACAAAGCCACUUCUGGCGAACCAGAGGAACGCACAGAAACGCCAUUAACCUUCCCGCCGGAGCGGUACCUAUUUAUCUACCUGCACUGGCAUGCUUUCGAACUGCUAGGUUGGCAGCGGCUGGGACAGAGCAAUGGGAGCUCACUCCAUCACGGGGAUUCGAACUGCUGACCUUCCAAUCGGCAAGCCCAAGAGGCUCGGUGGUUGAGACCACAGCGCCACCAACGUCCCACUUCUACUGUUCAUAGGUAUGCACUAUACAUUAAACAUAAUAACAAUUAUACACAAAAUUGGGUCCCCCCUCUGUGGGAGUAAUACAUAAUUAGCAGACAUAGUUAUUCAACAUUCCUACUUUAUAACACAAAAUACAUAGAAAAUACUAUUUACCAGUCCUAUAUUAGUUGGAUAUCUCGAGGCAAUCAUGUAAUUUUGAGACUAUUCUUGCUGCUUUUACACAUAUCUUUAACUUUUAAGCACAAGGGCUGGAGGUCAAAAAGAGAGAAAAUGUCCUUACAAUACAACUUUCCCCUGUUUGUCAGCCCCCCCAUUAGUCCAAGUCCUUUAUGGAAAGAAAUGGCAGUGGCCACUCUGAUGUCUUUUGGCCGGCAAUGCUCUUGAAGCAAUGCAGGCUGUUUGUUUUCCCCCACCAGUUUCCAGUAACACAUCCACUGAGAAGUGGAAAUCUAUUGGAGACAAUUUGUCAAAUCACUGCCCUGCCUGCCUGCCUCUCUCUCCACCCCCACCCCAUUUUCCAUAGUGUGGAUUCCCAAAGACAAUAUCCCUGUGUGAAGAUAGCAUAAUAGAAGAAAAAUGUGUGUGCAACCUAGAACCUGUCUAGAUCUUCAGGAAGAGCAGUUGCUCUUCCUGAGUACAUAGUCAAGCUGGAAGGGGUGGACUCUCCCUCAAGGAACAUUUUUAGGCAGAGGCUGGAGGGUCAUCUGUCAGGGACUCUCUUAACUAUGACCCUUGGGAACACUUCCAACUCUACAAUUAUAUAAUUCUAUGAACACAUUUGGCAGCAAUUAUUAGCUAGGAAACUUUCUGGUGUUUAUUUCAUAAAAUUUAUAUACCUCUUGAUUGUAAAAAGAAAAAUCUACAAAGUGUUGUUGAAAGGAGGAUUAUAAACCUGGCCAAAUAAACCAAAAUCUACUGGCUCAUUUAUAAAUUAUUCUAAAUCCACAAGCCGGGCAAGUAAGAAGCAUCAAAAGCCCACAAGGGGCUCCGUGUAGGGGUCGGGGGCCGCUUGCCUGCUCCUCCAGCUGGAGCCGUGGCUGCUUUGGCAAAGACUUCCCUCCCGGACACGCCUCUGGAACCCGCGUGUUGCCCACGCCACGUGUGAAUGCGGGCUGCAAAAGUCUCGCCGCCAAGAGCCAAACAAAAGCGGGCUCCGAAUUGGGGAGCGGGCGGGGCACACACAGUCUGGAAGGAAGGGCACUCUGCCCAUGGUCAGGGCAUCCUCUCCCCCGACCUUCCUUCCUUCCGAGAGGGCUCCGCCCUCCGCCGGGACCACC
Molecule: non-coding RNA, 7578 nt
Organism: Podarcis lilfordi (Lilford's wall lizard)
Lineage: Eukaryota; Metazoa; Chordata; Lepidosauria; Squamata; Lacertidae
Source: the annotation of a GenBank genome assembly